CAGCCGCCGCGGUAAUACCGGCGGCCCGAGUGGCGGUCACUAUUAUUGGGCUUAAAGCGUCCGUAGCCGGGUUGGGAAGUCCUCCGGGAAAUCUGGCCGCUUAACGGUCAGAAUGCCGGAGGAUACUCCCAGCCUAGGGAGCGGGAGAGGCCGAGGGUAUUCCCGGAGUAGGGGUGAAAUCCUAUAAUCCCGGGAGGACCCCCUGUGGCGAAGGCGCUCGGCUGGAACGCGUCCGACGGUGAGGGACGAAGGCCAGGGGAGCAAACCGGAUUAGAUACCCGGGUAGUCCUGGCGGUAAACGAUGCGGACUUUGUGUCGGACAAGCUAUGAGCUUGUCCGGUGCCGGAGGGAAACCGUUAAGUCCGCCGCCUGGGGAGUACGGCCGCAAGGCUGAAACUUAAAGGAAUUGGCGGG
This 414-nucleotide ribosomal RNA is filed under the name uncultured microorganism. RNAcentral's name for it is "bacterial SSU rRNA". It matches the Rfam family "Archaeal small subunit ribosomal RNA", at positions 459 to 872 of the family's 1478-position model. The record is from RNAcentral.